AUUGAACGCUGGCGGCAGGCCUAACACAUGCAAGUCGAGCGGAUGAAGGGAGCUUGCUCCUGGAUUCAGCGGCGGACGGGUGAGUAAUGCCUAGGAAUCUGCCUGGUAGUGGGGGAUAACGUCCGGAAACGGGCGCUAAUACCGCAUACGUCCUGAGGGAGAAAGUGGGGGAUCUUCGGACCUCACGCUAUCAGAUGAGCCUAGGUCGGAUUAGCUAGUUGGUGGGGUAAAGGCCUACCAAGGCGACGAUCCGUAACUGGUCUGAGAGGAUGAUCAGUCACACUGGAACUGAGACACGGUCCAGACUCCUACGGGAGGCAGCAGUGGGGAAUAUUGGACAAUGGGCGAAAGCCUGAUCCAGCCAUGCCGCGUGUGUGAAGAAGGUCUUCGGAUUGUAAAGCACUUUAAGUUGGGAGGAAGGGCAGUAAGUUAAGACCUUGCUGUUUGGACGUUACCAACAGAAUAAGCACCGGCGAACUUCGU
This 483-nucleotide ribosomal RNA is filed under the name uncultured bacterium. RNAcentral's name for it is "partial 16S ribosomal RNA". It matches the Rfam family "Bacterial small subunit ribosomal RNA", at positions 30 to 506 of the family's 1533-position model. The record is from RNAcentral.